Molecule: ribosomal RNA, 497 nt
Filed under: uncultured bacterium
Lineage: Bacteria
Description: partial 16S ribosomal RNA
Rfam family: Bacterial small subunit ribosomal RNA
Source: RNAcentral
GACGAACGCUGGCGGCGUGCCUAAUACAUGCAAGUUGAGCGCUGAAGGUUGGUACUUGUACCAACUGGAUGAGCAGCGAACGGGUGAGUAACGCGUGGGGAAUCUGCCUUUGAGCGGGGGACAACAUUUGGAAACGAAUGCUAGUACCGCAUAAAAACUUUAAACACAAGUUUUAAGUUUGAAAGAUGCAAUUGCAUCACUCAAAGAUGAUCCCGCGUUGUAUUAGCUAGUUGGUGAGGUAAAGGCUCACCAAGGCGAUGAUACAUAGCCGACCUGAGAGGGUGAUCGGCCACAUUGGGACUGAGACACGGCCCAAACUCCUACGGGAGGCAGCAGUAGGGAAUCUUCGGCGAUGGACGAAAGUCUGACCGAGCAACGCCGCGUGAGUGAAGAAGGUUUUCGGAUCGUAAAACUCUGUUGGUAGAGAAGAACGUUGGUGAGAGUGGAAAGCUCAUCAAGUGACGGUAACUACCCAGAAAGGGACGGCUAACUACGUG